UCUUUGCUGGUAUAUCGGUAGAACAUCACCCUGUCAUUCUGACAUUACGGUGGAGAGCAGGGUUCGACUCCCUGGCAAAGAG
Tulasnella calospora is the source of this 82-nucleotide non-coding RNA. NCBI's taxonomy places the organism in Eukaryota, Fungi, Basidiomycota, Agaricomycetes, Cantharellales, Tulasnellaceae. The record is from Rfam.